Molecule: ribosomal RNA, 788 nt
Filed under: Methanoculleus sp. enrichment culture clone HA_11
Lineage: Archaea; Methanobacteriati; Methanobacteriota; Methanomicrobia; Methanomicrobiales; Methanomicrobiaceae
Description: bacterial SSU rRNA
Rfam family: Archaeal small subunit ribosomal RNA
Source: RNAcentral
ACUGCUCAGUAACACGUGGAUAACCUGCCCUAAGGAAGGGGAUAACCUCGGGAAACUGAGGAUAAUACCCUAUAGGUUACAGACGCUGGAAUGCCCUGUAACCGAAAGUUCCGGCGCCUUAGGAUGGAUCUGCGGCCGAUUAGGUUGUUGUUGGGGUAACGGCCCAACAAGCCGAUAAUCGGUACGGGUUGUGGGAGCAAGAGCCCGGAGUUGGAUUCUGAGACAUGAAUCCAGGCCCUACGGGGCGCAGCAGGCGCGAAAACUUUACAAUGCGGGAAACCGUGAUAAGGGAACCCCGAGUGCCUGUAUAUGCAGGCUGUCCAGGUGUCUAAAAAACACCUGAAGAAAGGGCCGGGCAAGACCGGUGCCAGCCGCCGCGGUAAUACCGGCGGCUCGAGUGGUGGCCACUUUUAUUGGGCUUAAAGCGUUCGUAGCUGGGUUGUUAAGUCUCUUGGGAAAUCUGACGGCUCAACCGUCAGGCGUCCAAGGGAUACUGGCAAUCUUGGAACCGGGAGAGGUGAGGGGUACUUCGGGGGUAGGAGUGAAAUCCUGUAAUCCUCGAGGGACCACCUGUGGCGAAGGCGCCUCACCAGAACGGCUUCGACAGUGAGGGACGAAAGCUGGGGGAACAAACCGGAUUAGAUACCCGGGUAGUCCCAGCCGUAAACGAUGCGCGUUAGGUGUAUCGGUGACCACGAGUCACCGAGGUGCCGAAGGGAAACCGUGAAACGUGCCGCCUGGGAAGUACGGUCGCAAGGCUGAACUUAAAGGAAUUGGCGGGGGAGCAC